Long non-coding RNA from Mastomys coucha (southern multimammate mouse), 215 nucleotides. RefSeq lists it as uncharacterized. Lineage: Eukaryota; Metazoa; Chordata; Mammalia; Rodentia; Muridae. The record is from RefSeq and is a predicted model, not a curated record. The transcript has 2 exons.
CCAGGAGACAGCCCAGAGGUACAGCUGGCAGUGCUAUCUGGCUGUUCAAAUAAACAACCUACAUAUGAUGAGCGAGGUGCAUCUGUCUUCUUUGUGACAGAGUCUAUCACCAGCCUGGAUCUUGCCAGAUAGACUAAGCUGACUGAUCAACCAUCUCCAGGGACUCACUUUUCUUUGCCUACCUAACACUGGGAUUAAAGAGAGCAUUGGACGUG